ACGCUCGACACCUACGCGAGGCAGCAGUAGGGAAUCUUCCACAAUGGACGCAAGUCUGAUGGAGCAACGCCGCGUGAGUGAAGAAGGUUUUCGGAUCGUAAAGCUCUGUUGUUGGUGAAGAAGGAUAGAGGUAGUAACUGGCCUUUAUUUGACGGUAAUCAACCAGAAAGUCACGGCUAACUACGUGCCAGCAGCCGCGGUAAUCUGAGCGGGCUGGCAAGGC
RNAcentral lists this ribosomal RNA (223 nucleotides) under uncultured bacterium. Its description in RNAcentral is "partial 16S ribosomal RNA". It matches the Rfam family "Bacterial small subunit ribosomal RNA", at positions 328 to 539 of the family's 1533-position model. The record is from RNAcentral.